AAAGGAAUUGACGGGGGCCCGCACAAGCGGUGGAGCAUGUGGUUUAAUUCGAAGCGACGCGAAGAACCUUACCAAGGCUUGACAUGGAGAUGAAAGGCGCAGAGAUGCGUCCCCCUUCGGGCAUCUCACACAGGUGGUGCAUGGUUGUCGUCAGCUCGUGUCGUGAGAUGUUGGGUUAAGUCCCGCAACGAGCGCAACCCUUAUCUUUAGUAGCCAGCGCGAAAGGCGGGCACACUAGAGAGACUGCCGUGGAUAACACGGAGGAAGGUGGGGAUGACGUCAAAUCAUCAUGCCCCUUAUGUCUUGGGCGACACACGUGCUACAAUGGCUCAUACAAAGUGAUGCAAGGCAGUGAUGCGGAGCAAAACACAAAAAUGAGUCCCAGUUCGGAUUGUAGUCUGCAACCCGACUACAUGAAGUUGGAAUCGCUAGUAAUCGCAAAUCAGCAUGUUGCGGUGAAUACGUUCCCGGGCCUUGUACACACCGCCCGU
RNAcentral lists this ribosomal RNA (491 nucleotides) under uncultured bacterium. RNAcentral's name for it is "bacterial SSU rRNA". It matches the Rfam family "Bacterial small subunit ribosomal RNA", at positions 903 to 1397 of the family's 1533-position model. The record is from RNAcentral.